ACAGAGACUCGAGCUAAUUGAAUCUAUCAUAUGAUCGAUGAUGAGGUUUGAUGAUUUAUCCAUGACCUACCAUCUGAUCGGGACUCACAACAGAGGGAUUGUAUCAUACGUUAACUGCACCUAGAGGUUCAUCAUCUUUUAUUCUACUGGAUUAUAACUAUAUACUGCUAAGUGUCGCUGAUGAAUUGUGAGACCUACAGACGUCAUCUCGAUGAUCGAUGAUCUUUGAUGGGCA
This 235-nucleotide long non-coding RNA is filed under the name Elaeis guineensis (African oil palm). RNAcentral's name for it is "long non-coding RNA (EGUI_LNC037543)". The record is from RNAcentral. Lineage: Eukaryota; Viridiplantae; Streptophyta; Magnoliopsida; Arecales; Arecaceae.